Molecule: long non-coding RNA, 416 nt
Filed under: Gallus gallus (chicken)
Lineage: Eukaryota; Metazoa; Chordata; Aves; Galliformes; Phasianidae
Source: RNAcentral
GUAAUGGCUUAUCAAGGCAUCCCACACACUGACGACCUGCUGCAGAGCAUGCUUGGGAACACCAGGCCUUCACUACAAGUUCACAUGAAUUCAAGCUUACAGGGGACUCAUGCAAAGCCCUGUGCCUCGACAGCCAGCAGCACAGCUCUCACGAGUAUCUCCAAAGCUGUUUGUCCAGAGUUUAUUUGGGAUUGGUUUCCUUAAUUUCAUGCAACAGUCAUCAAAGCAAAACAGAAGUGGACGUGCUGCUGUCAGUGUGGAUGUGGAGUCCUCCGUGUCCCCCCUCUGCUCGUUAUCUGCAGGGACUGAAAUUUGGUUUGUUUUUUAUGCUUAGGAGCCAGAGAAAGCUAAGAUACUGCUUAAGUGAAGAGCCAUUAUUUGCUGUUAAUAAAAUUGACACCGUAACACAUUCCGUA